ACCCUGGAACAUGAGAAUACGGUCCCCAGAACUCCUACCGGGAAGCAGCAGUGGGGAAUAUGGACAAUGGGGCGAAAGCCUGAUCCAGCCAUGCCGCAUGAGUGAAGAAAAGGCCUUGGGUGUAAAAGCUCUUUAGUGAGGAAGAUAAUGACGGUACUCACCAGAAGAAGUCCUGGCUAACUCCGUGCCAGCAGCCGCGGUAAUACGGAGAGGGGCUAGCGUUAUUCGGAAUUAUUGGGCGUAAAGGGCGCGUAGGGCGGAUUAGUAAGUUAAAAGUGAAAUCCCAAGGCUCAACCUUGGAAUUGCUUUUAAAACUGCUAAUCUAGAGAUUGAAAGGGGAUAGAGGAAUUCCUAGUGUAGAGGUGAAAUUCGUAAAUAUUAGGAGGAACACCAGUGGCGAAGGCGUCUAUCUGGUUCAAAUCUGACGCUGAGGCGCGAAGGCGUGGGGAGCAAACAGGAUUAGAUACCCUGGUAGUCCACGCUGUAAACGAUGAAUGUUAAAUAUGGGAAGUUUUAUUUUCUGUAUUACAGCUAACGCGUUAAACAUUCCGCCUGGGGACUACGGUCGCAAGAUUAAAACUCAAAGGAAUUGACGGGGACCCGCACAAGCGGUGGAGCAUGUGGUUUAAUUCGAUGCAACGCGAAAAACCUUACCACUCCUUGACAUGGAAAUUAUACCUAUUCGAAGGGAUAGGGUCGGUUCGGCCGGGUUUCACACAGGUGUUGCAUGGCUGUCGUCAGCUCGUGUCGUGAGAUGUUGGGUUAAGUCCCGCAACGAGCGCAAGCCUCAUCCUUAGUUACCAUCAGGUAAUGCUUUUAAGGAAACUGUCAGUGAUAAACUGGAGGAAGGUGGGAAUGAUGUCAAGUCAUCAUGGCCCUUAUGGAGUGGGCUACACACGUGCUACAAUGGUGGCUACAAUGGGCUGCAAAGUCGCGAGGCUAAGCUAAUCCCUUAAAAGCCAUCUCAGUGCGGAUUGUACUCUGCAACUCGAGUGCAUGAAGUUGGAAUCGCUAGUAAUCGUGGAUCAGCACGCCACGGUGAAUACGUUCUCGGGUCUUGUACACACUGCCCGUCACGCCAUGGGAAUUGGUUUCACUCGAAGCUAACGACCUAACAGCAAGGAGGGAGUUAUUUAAAGUGGGAUCGGUGACUGGGGUGAAGUCCUAACCCGGUAACCGUA
RNAcentral lists this ribosomal RNA (1181 nucleotides) under uncultured bacterium. RNAcentral's name for it is "bacterial SSU rRNA". It matches the Rfam family "Bacterial small subunit ribosomal RNA", at positions 310 to 1504 of the family's 1533-position model. The record is from RNAcentral.